Molecule: long non-coding RNA, 1200 nt
Organism: Oncorhynchus tshawytscha (Chinook salmon)
Lineage: Eukaryota; Metazoa; Chordata; Actinopteri; Salmoniformes; Salmonidae
Source: Ensembl
UGCCGGUGUAGUAGGAUUCAAUCAUUAUCCUGUAUUGACGCUUUGCCUGUUUGGUAGUUCGUCUGAGGGCAUAGCGGGAUUUCUUAUAAGCGUCCGGAUUAGUGUCCCGCUCAGACUCAAUAAAGAAAAAUCUUGGUCCAGUUUGAGGACCUGAGCCCUAGGACCAUGCCUCAGGACGACCUGGCAUGAUGAUUCCUUGCUGUCCCCAGUCCACCUGGUCAUGCUGCUGCUCCAGUUUCGACUGUUCUGGCUGCGGCUAUGGAACACUGACCUGUUUACCGGACGUGCUACCUGUCCCAGACCUGCUGUUUUCAACUCUCUAGAGACAGCAGGAGCGGUCGGUAGAGAUGCUCUCAAUGAUCGGCUAUGAAAGGGCCAACUGACAUUUACUCCUGAGGCUCUGAUCUGUUGCACCCUCGACAACUACUGUGAUUAUUAUUAUUUGACCAUGCUGGUCAUUGAUGAACAUUUGAAAAAGCUCAAUACGGAACUGGUCCGAUGAAGCGGAUGCUGAGCUACAGGACUUUUUCGCUAGCACAGACUGGAUGGACACUUAUAAGAAAUCCCACUACACCCUCCGCCGAACAAUUUUGUGCAGCCUGGAGGAGAUCUUCGUGGGCUAUACUCAGCCUUGUUUCAGGGUAGUACGUUGGUGGUCUGUUGAUAUCCCUUUAGUGUUGUGGGGGCUGUUAUUGAGAAAAGUGGUUGGUUAUAUCCUGCCUGGUUGGCCCUGUCCGGGGGUAUAGUCAGACAGAGCCACCUUGUCACUCUUAUAGUCUCCACCCGGCACAGCCAGAAGGGGACUGGCCACCCCUCAGAGCCUGGUUCCUCUCUAGGUUUCUUCCUAGGUUCUUGGCUUUCUGGGGAGUUUUUCCUAGCCACCGUGCUUCCACAUCUGCAUUGCUUGUUGUUUGGGGUUUUAGGCUGGAUUUCUGUAUAAGCACUUUGUGACAUCUGCUGAUAUAAAAGGGCUUUAUAAAUACAUUUGAUUUGAUGAUCAAACAGUCAAAGCGUCAGUACAGGACCAAGAUCGAAUCCUACUACACCUGCUCUGAUGUCGUAUAUGGCAGGGCUUGCAAACCAUCAUGGAUUACAAAGGGAAACCCAGCCGCAAGCUGGCCUAUAUAUAAGACAGCUAUUAUUCAUCUGUGACCCUUAUGUAAUUACAGGCAGGGUGGGAAAUCAACACCAGCCACCAAC